CACGGGAGCAAUCCUGGUGGCGAGUGGCGAACGGGUGAGUAAUAUAUCGGAACGUACCUUUCAGUGGGGGAUAACGUAGCGAAAGUUACGCUAAUACCGCAUAUUCUGUGAGCAGGAAAGCAGGGGAUCUUAGGACCUUGCGCUGAUUGAGCGGCCGAUAUCAGAUUAGCUAGUUGGUGAGGUAAAGGCUCACCAAGGCGACGAUCUGUAGCGGGUCUGAGAGGAUGAUCCGCCACACUGGGACUGAGACACGGCCCAGACUCCUACGGGAGGCAGCAGUGGGGAAUAUUGGACAAUGGGGGAAACCCUGAUCCAGCGAUGCCGCGUGUGUGAAGAAGGCCUGCGGGUUGUAAAGCACUUUUGGUUGGGAAGAAAGGCGUACUGUGAAUAGCGGUACGAUAUGACGGUACUAGCCGAAUAAGCACCGGCAAACUCUGUGCCAGCAGCCGCGGUAAUA
This 457-nucleotide ribosomal RNA is filed under the name uncultured bacterium. RNAcentral describes it as "bacterial SSU rRNA". It matches the Rfam family "Bacterial small subunit ribosomal RNA", at positions 72 to 525 of the family's 1533-position model. The record is from RNAcentral.